Long non-coding RNA from Gasterosteus aculeatus aculeatus (three-spined stickleback), 3472 nucleotides. The record is from Ensembl. NCBI's taxonomy places the organism in Eukaryota, Metazoa, Chordata, Actinopteri, Perciformes, Gasterosteidae.
GCAAAGCUGCUGUCAUAAUCCACAGGUAUAAAAUGGGAGGUAUUACAGGCACUGCAGCCACCAGGGAGACCAUAUGGUACCACGUGUGCUCUGUCCUCACAGUUCACUGCUUGAUACUUUUGGAAAGCUACGCUUUUCUCCAUUUCACUGAGCGCCGUCAUUCUGUGACGUUUGGCCACACGAUGCUUUUCAACUUGGACUCCAGGUCAAGUUUUUUUUUUCUGUAAUUUAGAUGUUGGUGGAUUAAUCUUCUGCUUAGGAAACCAAAGCAGGUCUCUCAAUGAGGCUCAUUCUUUUACAUUCUUUAAAGCUGUAUUUGUUAUCUCCUCAAAGCGGGCAGUUUUUAAUCCUCUGUGUUGUUUGUGUCAGGAUGACCUUGCACGACCUGCUUGUGACAGGCCGCCUUUAACGGGGCCACAUAUCUGCAGUUUUAUGGGGAAUAAGAACAAGUUUGUGAUAUGAAAAGGUGUUUUGUUUGACAUCCUGACUUGUGAAGCGGACGGAUAACGUGAAUAUGGUUAAUUCAUGUACUUUCCUCGUUCCUACUUUAUAUUCUGUAGCAGUGAGUAAACUGUCAAGUAAAGUUGCUGCGAGUAGCAAAAAAAUCUGGAUGUGUUGCAUAACCGUAGAUUCUGACUGCGCACUUUCUCAGAAGGAGGAAAAAAACCUCAAUGACUUAAAAAUCCACUCUUGUGCCAUUUUCUUUCAUGUUCUUUGGCCGCUGCAAAAUCAAACUCUAAAAUUGUCUUUGCAGAAAAAACUCAAGGCAAUGCAGACUUUCAUCUCAAUAAGUGAUUAGAAGUAAUCAAUCAUCAAACAUCACGUUGGCCAACUUCAAUUUAGCAGUUUUUAUUAGCAGCCGUGUGUGUGUGAGUGUUUUCCACCGACUCGCACUGACUAAUGUGAAGUCCCGUUGUGUAAACUUUACUCUACUUCGCCGCUCGCUCUCUCUUGGUCAUUUGCCGUCCGUCUAUACAGCAACCUGACCGGUCCGGCUUGAUGUGACCACGGGCCAUUUCGAUAAUUGAUGCUGAGGCAGGCAGUUUCUUUCAGUAUGUCCUUAAGUCGCCUAUUAAAGGCGGCUCUUGGCCCUUAAGCCCCAGCGUCCAGAGAGCGGGGGAGCUAUCAACGUGUCUUUGUGGGGAUCAGCAGGGUGGUGAGGAGGGAGACGAGGCCUCCUGGAAUAGAACAUGCUGACGGGAGUGCACCCACAGCAGGAAACGUCUCUCUACUCCAAAGCACGUUUAAGAGCCCACAGAGUGUUCCUGAGCAGGAGUGAUGUGAACUACCGGAGGGUUUCUUUCAUCUCUUUCUGGUAUCUCGAGGAGUGAAUUCCCCAAACGAACGAAUGAAGGUAUUGAAAGUCUUUCAGAGAAUCAACAACUAGGGAUUCAAUCCGAGAACGUCUGCUGAAGCACCGAAAUGGGGAUUAUUUGCAGCCGGCGAGCUGUUAUAUUGAUCUCUGGAACAUCUACAGCCACUUGACUGAGAUUUAUACUUCACUUUGUAAAUCCCCAUUAAGGGCCCUCCGGGGGCUGCUGUUGGAUGAAACCAUAUUGACAAAUGAAGUGAAGACUGAUCUGAAGCUAUUGUACUAUUAGCUUCUCGUGAAAUCAAGCGAGUGUGUGUGGGAGAAAGCGAGAGGGGCCCAUAAGUCUAAUUAAGCCCCACUGAGCGUGCUGCUCUGCUGACUGGAGAACUUGUUCAUUUGUUUCAUUUCUUCAUCAUUUUCCCUCUGAAACCUUUUCUUGGCCCUGUGGCUUGUGGGAAACUAUAUCCCAAUGUGAUCCCCCUUUAAAAAAAACAACAAUCCACACUCUCUAACCGAAAUGACCCAGCAGGGUUUCGCCGUUCCUCACAUCUUCUGACAAACAAAAUAUAACUUGCACACGGCACGAUUUCAACCUCUGAAACACUCCCCGACUUCCGAGAUGAGCGACCCAAACUACUGGGCUGCGGAUUACAAUCCCUCCUCCACUGCUCCGGCUGCGUUCCCCAGGGGCUCCACGGUGCUGCAGCCCCUCCCCGGGCACCCCGAGCAGGGAACCGCCCUGUGCUUCGUGGGCCUUCUCGUGCUGUUCCUGCUCUUUCUCAUCGUUCGCUGCGUCCGGAUCUUGUUGGACCCGUACAGCAGCAUACCAGCCUCAUCGUGGACGGAUCACAAGGAGGGACUGGACAGGGGACAAUUUGAUUAUGCACUGGUGUGAAGACGUGUGGGGGGGAAUGGAAGAUGAAGAGAGGGAUGAAGGUGGGGAUAUGUUCAGGGAUAUGCCGUGGGUUCGGUGUCAUGCAACAAGGUUCUAUAGUCACAAAGUUUCAGCUCCAUAAAAUGAAAGAAAAUGCAUUUGGUUUGUCGUUGGUUGGGGCAACAUGCACACGGACCAUCAAACGGCAUCUGUGUAAGGAUUCAAUUCAGAGAGAAAAGGAGAAUCCGUUAUAAUUUGCUGGUAAUUGAUGUAAUGUGACUCUUGUUGUUACUCUGCAGCUUCCAGAGUGACAAAUUGCAGGACGACAGCGAUCAGUAUCACAGCAUUACAUUAUGACUCCUGUUUGUUUGUUUCGUUUCCCAGAGCUGAAUUAUAAAUAGAGAGCAGCGCUGCUGCAAGAGAGGUACUGAUUGAAUAAAAGUGAAAUGGAAUGAGUUUAAACAUGGAAGUCAUUCAGACAGAACUGUGUUACAGCCGAUUUACAGCAAGAUUGUUAACUUCAUACAUCGAUUUGCUGUUAAAGUAUAAGAGUGUAUCUGUCUUUUUUUUUCCUUAAAUCUAGCUGAAUAAUUUAGAAGAUGUCAGUUUCUCUGGAACAGGGAACCUUUUUUAUGGGAUCCGUGCAUUUGUACGACCUCUAACAUGAUCCUCAGGGAUAACGAUUUCUAAUUAACCUCAGGCUCGAUAUCAUCAGAGGAAACCACCCCCUGAAAUUGAGCUACAGCUGUUAUUAUAUUUCAUUUCUCAAUUUUCUUAAAGAUUAACUGUGCACUAAAGCUGAUGUUUAUAAUACAUUCCAGUUAAUACUAAUUAUUUUAUUUGGAGUUUUGCUAUUCCAUGCCGCCGUCCUCUUAAGAGGCUUAUGAGGCUCAGUGCAGAGUCACACUGACUGGAUACGACUCAUAUAAAGUUAGGAUUAUGAAAUGCAUGUGCACCAAUUUACUUCCUCUAAUCCUUUUUGCCUUUAGACCCAGUCCAGCGCACAAGACAAAUCUGGUCAACAGUGCCUGCAGGAAUAAGAGAAGAGCUUCAAAUUAUUUCAUACUAACUAAAUACUGCUUACUUUGACACUUCUAUGGUUUAAAGUCCUCUAUAUAAAUGAACUUAACCAUCAAUAGUUCUUGGGAACUGUUCUACAGUUGUUUGGUUUCAUUAAUUAUGACCACAGGAAUAACGCUUUGCUGGUAAAAUGAAAUUGAUAUUUUCCUGAUGUUUCCUAAAAUUAGAAUUCUGCUUUCAAUCAAAUAAAAAAGCUUUGAUUUGUA